AAAAUAGUCCCUCCGUCCGGAAAAACUUGUCCCUCAAAUGGAUGUAUCUAGCACCAAGUUAGUGCUAGAUACAUCCAUUUAAAGAACAAGCUUGAGACAAGUAUUUUUGGACGGAGGAAGUAUAUC
Non-coding RNA from Triticum aestivum (bread wheat), 126 nucleotides. The record is from Rfam. NCBI's taxonomy places the organism in Eukaryota, Viridiplantae, Streptophyta, Magnoliopsida, Poales, Poaceae.